CUUUUAUCAAGAAUGAGGGAGAGAAUUAGCUCGAUGAACUCAUACCAACCUGCUAAAGUAAGUAAGGUGGUACUGCUAAUAUCGAUAAGAA
RNAcentral lists this non-coding RNA (91 nucleotides) under Clostridium sp. RNAcentral describes it as "SAM-I sequence". It matches the Rfam family "SAM riboswitch aptamer (S box leader)". Rfam says of the family: The SAM riboswitch is found upstream of a number of genes which code for proteins involved in methionine or cysteine biosynthesis in Gram-positive bacteria. The record is from RNAcentral. Lineage: Bacteria; Bacillati; Bacillota; Clostridia; Eubacteriales; Clostridiaceae.